GGCGGUUCUCAGGUGAUGCAUACUAGUAUCGGGCUCCUUCCUCUCUGGUUCCGGAUGCAUCACCCAAGAACCACA
This is a non-coding RNA of Myotis davidii, 75 nucleotides long. Lineage: Eukaryota; Metazoa; Chordata; Mammalia; Chiroptera; Vespertilionidae. The record is from Rfam.